GGCUGUGGUGCAGAGGUAGAGCGUCCGCUUGGCAUGCACAAGAUCCCAGGUUCAAUCCCUGCCAUAGCCA
RNAcentral lists this transfer RNA (70 nucleotides) under Sphaerodactylus townsendi. RNAcentral describes it as "tRNA-Ala". The record is from RNAcentral. Lineage: Eukaryota; Metazoa; Chordata; Lepidosauria; Squamata; Sphaerodactylidae.